This 620-nucleotide long non-coding RNA is filed under the name Androctonus crassicauda. Lineage: Eukaryota; Metazoa; Arthropoda; Arachnida; Scorpiones; Buthidae. The record is from RNAcentral.
CCAGCACUUUGCCAAAACUAAGGAUGUCAGAGGGACCUGUUUCUAGAGUGAGUCCCAAUUACAUCAAAGGGCAACUUACAGCUUUCUCCAGUAAGUCUGAGUGGUUCUCUUGAGCUGGUGUCACUUUCUAACCUUUGCCAGUCUAGCCCCAGCAGGGCACCGUGUGUGUGAGUGUGGUUUGGUGCUGUUUUGGAGUGUGCCUGCCCCCCAGCCUGGAACCCUCUGAUCAACUUGCUGGGACCUAUAACGUCUUAGGUGCAACAAGGACCCUACCAGAGCUCCUGGGUGGCUUUCAAGAUCCACAUAGCUUUGUGUGAGGGGACUGAAUGCAGACAAACCACAGCCUGCUUCAAAUACCUUCUUUCCCUACCACCUAGUUCCAAAUGGAACCAACAAGUUGAGUGCAUCUCUGUUGGGUGUUUUGUGUUGAGACUGGCUGAAGUGAAAACUCUUUGACUGACCAUGUUGUGAUGUGUCGACAGACUCAAGGACACAACCACCUCGACCUGGUCAUGUGGCAUGCCUGUGUAUGUGUGUAACAGGAUUCUGAAUGUUAGGUUGUAAUGCUAUUCCUGUAUGGGAGAAAAAAAUAAUAUAAACAAAUAAAAAUCUAUUUAAAG